CAGUAGCCGCGGGAAAACAGAGGGUGCGAGCGUUAAUCGGAUUUACUGGGCGUAAAGCGUGCGUAGGCGGCUUCUUAAGUCGGAUGUGAAAUCCCUGAGCUUAACUUAGGAAUUGCAUUCGAUACUGGGAAGCUAGAGUAUGGGAGAGGAUGGUAGAAUUCCAGGUGUAGCGGUGAAAUGCGUAGAGAUCUGGAGGAAUACCGAUGGCGAAGGCAGCCAUCUGGCCUAAUACUGACGCUGAGGUACGAAAGCGUGGGGAGCAAACAGGAUUAGAUACCCCGGUAGUCCCUGUCUCUUAUAC
Molecule: ribosomal RNA, 301 nt
Filed under: uncultured bacterium
Lineage: Bacteria
Description: partial 16S ribosomal RNA
Rfam family: Bacterial small subunit ribosomal RNA
Source: RNAcentral